This 380-nucleotide ribosomal RNA is filed under the name Cyclophora tenuis. Its description in RNAcentral is "partial Bacterial small subunit ribosomal RNA". It matches the Rfam family "Bacterial small subunit ribosomal RNA", at positions 1085 to 1464 of the family's 1533-position model. The record is from RNAcentral. Lineage: Eukaryota; Bacillariophyta; Fragilariophyceae; Cyclophorales; Cyclophoraceae.
UCCCGCAACGAGCGCAACCCCUAUGUUCAGUAGCCAGCAGGUAAAGCUGGGCACUCUGGAGAGACUGCCAGGGAUAACCUGGAGGAAGGUGGGGAUGACGUCAAAUCAUCAUGCCCCUUAUGAUUUGGGCUACACACGUGCUACAAUGAAAAUUACAAAAAGUAAUUAAAUAAUUAAUUUUUAAUUAAUCUUUAAAUUUUUUCUUAGUUCGGAUUAUAAACUGCAACUCGUUUAUAUGAAGUUGGAAUCACUAGUAAUCGCAAAUCAGCAUGUUGCGGUGAAUAUGUUACUUGGCCUUGUACACACCGCCCGUCACGUCAUGAAAGUCGGUAACACCCGAAGCCGGUGGCCCAACCCUUGGGAGGGAGCCGUCGAAGGUG